Molecule: long non-coding RNA, 1465 nt
Organism: Macaca fascicularis (crab-eating macaque)
Lineage: Eukaryota; Metazoa; Chordata; Mammalia; Primates; Cercopithecidae
Source: Ensembl
UAAAAUGUUGAAUAUCUCAUAUGCUUUAUUAAAUAUUGCAGUAAAGUGAAAAACACAAUGAUUUUAUGAGUAUUUGACCUACAGUUUCUACUGAAAAUGCAUUGCUUUCACACCAUUGUAAAGAUGAAAAAUCAUAAGUUGAACCAUUGUAAGUUGGGGACCGUCUGUACAAGAUUACACAUGAAACCCUUUACAUUAAUAUACAACUAUCAAAAUAUUUAAACAAACCAAAAGUGUCCCAUAGUAAUAUAUGUGCUUCUUUGCAUUAAAUAACAAAAUCUGUGACAGGCUUAAAGAGAAACAUAAUUUCUACAUAGAAGUAAUGUAGAGGUUUACAUAUUUGUGUCUGAUCUGAACUGUAAGAUAUAUAAAAAUAGCUGUGACUCUUAGUUCCUGUGGGAAGGUAAGAGCCUAACUCCGGUGGGCAAGUGGGCAGCUUGCUCCAAUGUGCAAUAAUUGCCUUUCUAAUUUCUUGGACAUUAGAUGCCACGUGGAUGAAAGAGGCAAACACCAUAUCCACAUCCAAUCCUACCCCACACUUCAGAUCCUGGAUGUCCUUUUCUGACAUGGCAAGCACGUCCACAGCCACCAGGAAGGUCUACACCCUUUUUGCUGCCCAAGGAGCCACCAUUUUCCACUGCUAUCACCAGGAGGUCAGUACCUUUCUGCUCUGCCUGCAGAGAAAUAAGUUAUUACAUCUGUAGAUCUUGCUGCCCACUUCCACUACCUUACAAAUGUUCUUGUAGUCCAGCCACAGGAAGUUCUAAUCAUAGUUUUCCAUGUAGGCAUUAUCCAGUGUGAUCUGAAGGUGGCUCCCUUCUUCAGCUCCACCUCCAUGGGGACACUGCUCUGUGUGAGCCCAGUUCGUAUCUCAGGCCCAUUAGUGUCCAGAGCCACAGCAACUAGCCGCUAGAGAUUGGGGUUCGAAGCAAAGCUUUCCAGAGUUGUGCACACGUUCUUGAUAGUCUCUGCGUGGUACUCAAAAGUUCAGACAAGCCAUAUUAAUUCCAGACUUAAUCAUCAGCAUUUCCACCAAUCAGGAAGCUGGGCUGAUAGUACAGAUGAUGCCAGCAUUCUGGGCUGUGGGGGUGGCCAGUCAGUGUUCAGACAGCACACAUGCUACAGCAGUGUGUCAACUACGACCGUGGGCAGCUGCUGAGUCUGAAAUGAAGGCCCUCCUGGCUUCACUCUGGGGCUUCCACUUGGCUUCUGAGGUCUUCCAGCAUUUUCUCGCUCAGACUACUUGUAAAUGCAGAGAGGUCAGGAGCCUAGGGAUAUUCACUCCUGUCCAUUAUAUAUGUUUUAUUCCAGAAUGUCUAUUUGAUUGUUUUCAUAUCAUACGAAUUAUUUUUGAUGGUCUUUUAUUUCUGUAUCAUAUACCAAUGUCUCCCUUUAUUUCUUUACACAUUUUAACAUACUCAUUUCAUAAUUUUUAUUUAAAAUUUCUGUAUCUGAAGUCCUUGUG